GAUGAAGAACGUAGCGAAAUGCGAUACUUGGUGUGAAUUGCAGAAUCCCGUGAACCAUCGAGUCUUUGAACGCAAGUUGCGCCUCAAGCCAUUAGGUUGAGGGCACGUCUGCCUGGGCGUCACAUAUCGUUGCCUGAUGCCAGUUUCCUCAUGAUGGGUGACUGUGCAGGGCGAAUGAUGGCUUCCCGUGAGCAUUGUUGCCUCAUGGUUGGUUGAAAAUUGAGUCCUUGGUAGGGAGCGCCGUGAUAGAUGGUGGUUGAGUGACGAACGAGACCCAAUCAUGUGAGACCCCUACCGAAUUUGGCCUUCAUGACCCACAUGCGUCUUUGGAACGCUCAUGACGAGACCUCAGGUCAGGCGGGGCUACCCGCUGAGUUUAAGCAUAUCAAUAAGCGGAGGA
This 400-nucleotide unclassified non-coding RNA is filed under the name soil metagenome. RNAcentral describes it as "partial contains 5.8S ribosomal RNA, internal transcribed spacer 2, and large subunit ribosomal RNA". The stretch from base 1 to 122 matches the Rfam family "5.8S ribosomal RNA", at positions 35 to 154 of the family's 154-position model. The record is from RNAcentral.